This 206-nucleotide non-coding RNA is filed under the name Acetivibrio ethanolgignens. RNAcentral describes it as "T-box sequence". It matches the Rfam family "T-box leader". From Rfam's summary of the family: Uncharged tRNA acts as the effector for transcription antitermination of genes in the T-box leader family. T-boxes are found upstream of many aminoacyl-tRNA synthetase genes and some amino acid biosynthetic genes usually in Gram-positive bacteria. The anticodon of a specific tRNA base pairs to a specifier sequence within the T-box motif, and the NCCA acceptor tail of the tRNA base pairs to a conserved bulge in the T-box antiterminator hairpin. The record is from RNAcentral. Lineage: Bacteria; Bacillati; Bacillota; Clostridia; Acetivibrionales; Acetivibrionaceae.
AACAAAUCGUUGAUCAGGAGAGUACACUGGAUGGAAUCUACAGCGAGGCAGUGGAGAGUGGAAGUCUGCCAGAGAAAGUCUUGUGGAAACGCACCUGUGAGAGCCUGGGUGAAUUCAUAGCUCAGGACGGGUUUCCCCCACGUUACGGGAUGAGAGGCCUUGUUGGAGGCAACUGGAGUGGUACCGCGUGUAAUAGCGUCUUCGGA